Amphiprion ocellaris (clown anemonefish) is the source of this 2147-nucleotide long non-coding RNA. RefSeq lists it as uncharacterized. The record is from RefSeq and is a predicted model, not a curated record. The transcript is spliced from 3 exons. NCBI's taxonomy places the organism in Eukaryota, Metazoa, Chordata, Actinopteri, Pomacentridae.
GGAAGCUGAAUUAGUGAGGAUGACUCCUGCUCCUGUCAUCUUUAAGCGCCUCACACAUCUUUACCUGCACAUGAGGAAAAUCACUCCUGUAGAAUGCAGAUGUUCAGAGGGAGAUGAUGCCACAUCUGGUCCAGCUGAUGGAAGGUCUUGAAGUUCUCUGACUGGCCUCGACUGAAGAUGGUCGUCUCACUGGAUUUAAGGUUCAGAUGCUCAGUAACAAACUCCACCAAUGUGCCAACAGGGAAGCUUUAGGUUUAUUAAAUGUUGCUAUGAAGGUAUCGCUGUUUUUCUUAGUGAAUGCAAUGAGCUCCAACUGAAAGUUGAAUUAGAACUUAGAAGUAAAUCCUUCCAUCUGAAAGGAUUUAGUUGCAUUAAUAACCUCAUAACAUUCUAAUUUUUAUUUCAGUCUUGGCUGGAAAUAGAAUCUCUGUAUUGAUUCAGGUAAAAACUGAACUUCACAGCAUGUUGGAGCAAAACAACAGAUGAAAACUGUGAUGGUGUUGGAUUGUCAGACUGUAAUGUUGCAGCUCAAAGCAGCUUUUCUAUCUCAGUUCAUUCUGACAUUCAGCUAUAAAUCAACACAGCAGAUGGUGAUCCAUGCUGUGGAAGUCUCACAUCUCCUGAUUUAAUGGAGCUGCUUUGCACUUUUUACACUGUUUAUUCACCAACACUUUAUUUAAUAAAAGUCCCAUCUAGUUUUUAUGAGGAAUGUGAUGUUUUAAUUUCUCUGUGAAUAACUGCAGUCUAAUGCAACAGCUGGAGUUGUAACAUCUGUCCUGAUAUUGAUCAUGAAGUAUUGAUCAGAAUACUUAUGGUUAGCAGUCAUCCCUGAAGUUUUACAUUAAAAUCUUUACUUGUGUUGUGAACUUUGGUAAGAAGCAGAAACUUUUACGUUGCCAUGGAUACAUGAGUGUUAAAUUCUGUCCAUGUUUCCAUUUUGGGAAAUUCAGUCCAGUUCCAGAAUGUGGAGGAAUUUAGUCUCACAAUCACAGACAACAAAUAUUAUCUGAAAGUCGGGUUAUUGUUGUUUAUCAGCACAAUACAAAAAGAUUAAUGUUAGAAAUAUUCCAGUUAAGACUCUAGAAUAUCAUGAUUUAUGUAAAUUUACCUCAAUAAUAUGAAUGUUCAGGUUAAGAUUGUACACUGAUAUUUAUUAUGCAAGUUUAGCUGAUUAAAGUUUAUGACUCUGCACUAAAAUAUUAUUUAAAUUGACAUCAUUAUUAUAUUUAGGGUCAGACCCUACAGUAUUGAGAUUAAGAAAUCAAAUAUUCUAUAAAAUGUAAAUACACUGAACUCAUUUGGAUAUAUUUAAGUGAGACUCUACAAUAUUAUUUGACACAAAUCUAUCUAAAUCAACAUUAAUAAUAAUUUUUACUCCAAACAUUUACUGGACUGAUUUAAAUAUUAAAAUCACUCCUUUCUAAUCCUCUGCUGUGCGUUCAAACCUGAGGCCUUAAAUAGAAACACACAAGUAUCUGAUUGAAGGAACUUCUGCAGAGUCCUGGUUCCAGAACAUGAUGAUAGAAUUAUAGACAAACUUUAACAAAAGCUGCCUGAGAGUUUAUAGGUUUUUAUGUUAAAUUUCUUCAGUAAUUUAAUGAGAGUUAUCAGCAAAAAUCAAGUGUUCAUUUGAUGAAAUUCAUUUCCUAAAACAUACAGAAUUGGAGCUCAUAUCUUUGGCAGCUGUAAAGUUUCUGCUCCUUCAAAGUUCACAACACAAUGAAUGAAUUCCUAAAACACUCUCAAUGCUGGAGAGCGUUUGUGAUGCUGAAGCAGUGAUCAGUUUUUCUGUUUCUUCUCUGGAGAUGCACAAUGAGGGACGUCUGCAGUGACUGAGAAAGAGUCUCGCCACAUCCUGACAUGAGGAAAAAGACUUUAUUGAAGACUACAAUGAGAAAAACUAUCAGACAGCAGACGGCUGCAUUCAAGUCUGUAGCUACUGAAUUCAUGGAUGAAUCAUCUGGCACUAGAGAAGAAGACCAUCAAACAUCCACGUCAGCUGAUGGAGGUCCAAGAGUCUCACCAAACAAACAACCUACAGAGUGAAGACCUCAAAUCUGAUUGGAUGGCCUCCUAUUCAGCCACAUGUGUGAACAAAUGCCUCUAAGCUGAUUUGUUUUCUAAAAUAAAUCUAGUUUGAGUCCUAA